AAACCAUGGUGAGGGCAUUGAGCUUGGUAGCCUUUGAAUCUCUCCCAAGCUUCACUGAAUCCUUCCAAGCCUUUCUGUUGAAAGCGGGAGAUCUCAUUUCUCAGCUU
This 107-nucleotide small nucleolar RNA is filed under the name Brassica napus (rape). RNAcentral's name for it is "Plant small nucleolar RNA R71". It matches the Rfam family "Plant small nucleolar RNA R71". From Rfam's summary of the family: R71 is a member of the C/D box family of snoRNAs containing the C (UGAUGA) and D (CUGA) box motifs. Multiple nearly identical copies of this snoRNA have been identified in Arabidopsis, and it is thought to function as a 2'-O-ribose methylation guide for 18S ribosomal RNA. Lineage: Eukaryota; Viridiplantae; Streptophyta; Magnoliopsida; Brassicales; Brassicaceae. The record is from Rfam by way of RNAcentral.